UAAUUCUAGCCUAAUCUUUAGAAUUGUUUUUUUUUAGGGAAAUUGUCCGAGAGCGAAAAUUUAUUUAAAUAAAAUAAGAUGAUACAGAAAUAAAAAGGUCAUCAAAAGAGGACCACAUUGUACAUUUUUUACUAGACAGACAUCACUUGACUAGUUGAUCAGCUUGUAUACCAUUUCUAGAGGAGCGAGAAUUCCAUCCAAAAAAAGACGUGACAUGCGUUGACAAAGGACUGAAACGUUUUGAGCUUCAUUCUAGCGUCCCAAAUGAACUACUCGGAUUGAUCAGAUCUAAAGUGAAUCGCUUUAAUAAUCAAUGCUGAGUCUGAAAAUAUCUGAAUUCGUUCUCCUGGGAAGGUAUCUAAGAAAAGUUUUGGCUGCUUUCGAUAUUGCUUCAAUUUCAGUUGGUAGUGCAUCAUCAUGAACAUUUUCAACAAAAUCCGAAACGCACAGGCAAACACUUUGUUGGUUGGUAACGAGAACACAAAUUUCACCCGAAUCGCCACCUUUUCGGCUACCAUCUAUC
This 523-nucleotide long non-coding RNA is filed under the name Ananas comosus (pineapple). RNAcentral describes it as "long non-coding RNA (ACOM_LNC031766)". The record is from RNAcentral. Lineage: Eukaryota; Viridiplantae; Streptophyta; Magnoliopsida; Poales; Bromeliaceae.